This 75-nucleotide transfer RNA is filed under the name Lentisphaerota bacterium. RNAcentral's name for it is "Lentisphaerae bacterium (anaerobic digester metagenome) tRNA-Thr". It matches the Rfam family "tRNA". Rfam says of the family: Transfer RNA (tRNA) molecules are approximately 80 nucleotides in length. Their secondary structure includes four short double-helical elements and three loops (D, anti-codon, and T loops). The record is from RNAcentral. Lineage: Bacteria; Pseudomonadati; Lentisphaerota.
GCCAGCAUAGCUCAGUGGUAGAGCAGCUCAUUCGUAAUGAGCAGGUCCUCGGUUCAAGCCCGAGUGCUGGCUCCA